RNAcentral lists this ribosomal RNA (375 nucleotides) under uncultured organism. RNAcentral describes it as "partial 16S ribosomal RNA". It matches the Rfam family "Bacterial small subunit ribosomal RNA", at positions 526 to 896 of the family's 1533-position model. The record is from RNAcentral.
GGAGGGGUGCGAGCGUUAAUCGGAAUUACUGGGCGUAAAGCGCGCGUAGGCGGGCUUGGUCAGUCGGGAUGUGAAAGCCCCGGGGCUUAACCUGGGAAUUGCAUUCGAUACUGCCAGACUAGAGUAUGGGAGAGGGAAGCGGAAUUUCCGGUGUAGCGGUGAAAUGCGUAGAUAUCGGAAGGAACACCAGUGGCGAAGGCGGCUUCCUGGCCCAAUACUGACGCUGAGGUGCGAAAGCGUGGGGAGCGAACAGGAUUAGAUACCCUGGUAGUCCACGCCGUAAACGAUGAGAACUAGAUGUCGGGAGGAUUUGCCUCUCGGUGUCGCAGCUAACGCGUUAAGUUCUCCGCCUGGGGAGUACGCCGGCAAACGGUA